RNAcentral lists this ribosomal RNA (497 nucleotides) under uncultured bacterium. RNAcentral describes it as "partial 16S ribosomal RNA". It matches the Rfam family "Bacterial small subunit ribosomal RNA", at positions 27 to 507 of the family's 1533-position model. The record is from RNAcentral.
GGGGGGGGGGGGGGGGGGGGGGGGUACGUGCAAGGCGGGCGGACGGGCGAGAGGCGUGCUUCUCUGAUGUUAGCGGCGGGCGGGUGAGUAACACGUGGAUAACCUACCUAUAAGACUGGGAUAACUUCGGGAAACCGGAGCUAAUACCGGAUGAUCUUUUGAACCGCAUGGCUCAAAAGUGAAAGACGGUCUUCCUGUCACUUACAGAUUGAUCCGCGCUGCAUUAGCUAGUUGGUAAGGUAACGGCUUACCCAGGCAACGAUGCAUAGCCGACCUGAGAGGGUGAUCGGCCACACUGGAGCUGAGACACGGUCCAGACUCCUACGGGAGGCAGCAGUAGGGAAUCUUCCGCAAUGGGCGAGAGCCUGACGGAGCAACGCCGCGUGAGUGAUGAAGGUCUUCGGAUCGUAAAACUCUGUUAUUAGGGAAGAACAUAUGUGUAAGUAACUGUGCACAUCUUGACGGUACCUAAUCAGAAAGCCACGGCUAACUACGUG